This 308-nucleotide ribosomal RNA is filed under the name uncultured bacterium. Its description in RNAcentral is "partial 16S ribosomal RNA". It matches the Rfam family "Bacterial small subunit ribosomal RNA", at positions 505 to 809 of the family's 1533-position model. The record is from RNAcentral.
GAGACAGCAGUCGCCGCGGUAAUACGUAGGGUGCAAGCGUUAAUCGGAAUUACUGGGCGUAAAGCGUGCGCAGGCGGUUAUAUAAGACAGAUGUGAAAUCCCCGGGCUCAACCUGGGAACUGCAUUUGUGACUGUAUAGCUAGAGUACGGCAGAGGGGGAUGGAAUUCCGCGUGUAGCAGUGAAAUGCGUAGAUAUGCGGAGGAACACCGAUGGCGAAGGCAAUCCCCUGGGCCUGUACUGACGCUCAUGCACGAAAGCGUGGGGAGCAAACAGGAUUAGAUACCCGUGUAGUCCCUGUCUCUUAUAA